Long non-coding RNA from Raphanus sativus (radish), 1756 nucleotides. RefSeq lists it as uncharacterized. The record is from RefSeq and is a predicted model, not a curated record. Lineage: Eukaryota; Viridiplantae; Streptophyta; Magnoliopsida; Brassicales; Brassicaceae. The transcript is spliced from 3 exons.
CCUUUAUUGGCACGAGAGGAGAAGAUUGGGUUACAAGCCCGUGUCAACAUUGUUUCUGAGGGUGACAAGUUUAGCUCUACUGGUUGCAGGAUUUGCAAGAGAUAUUAAUGAAAACUGAGAGAUGAACAUUGCGGAUUCCAGUAUGAAACGAGUAAAGCUUAUCUUUACAAUUUGCCCUGGCGUCAAUGAGGAUGAUCACUAGAUAAGCCACAAUGCUAUGUGACCUUGGUUCGAAAUUGCGCAAUGCGAGAUGAAGGGAGGAGGCUGGCGCCUAGCGCCAUGGCGCCACAUUGCCAGCGCCUUGUGUACCUGCAACACAAAAGGUACAACAAAGCGGCGUUUUUACCGCUUUAGCAAAAUAACAAAAGCAAGGAAAAGCGACCUAAAGCGAGGGUUUUAUGUAACUCGCCUGGGGUCCCUUGGCGAUGAGGUCCUCGCCUUGUGGCGCUUAGCGCCAUGGCGCCAAAAACGCUCGCUUUUUUGAACCAAGUAUGUGACUGGAAGCACACAAAACACCAUUCAUUCAUGCAGAAGAUUCGUGUGACGUGGCUGAACAGAAAUCAAGAAAUAGAAGUAAGUUAAGAGAUACACACUAGAUAGUUUCAAUGACUUGCUAAUAGCCAUAGUAGCAUGCUUUCAUAAAUAGCAGGGUGAGAAAAAGGAUGUGGAACUCUGAUUUUAGUAGUAAAACAAUAUAUAUAUUAAUGAUGAUAAUGUUUUAAUCUGCGAUUAUGUUGAAUGUGAACAAAACCAAGAUUGCAUCACUUAAAACAAAUGCCAUUAUCUGGCAUCAUUGUCUGGUUUUAAGUAGCAUAGAACAUAUAUAAUUAAGAUCUUGAGACUUGUCAAGUCUUAGUAGCAACCUUCUACAGGUAACUAAGACUCAAAGAGGCCAAGUAAAAUGUUGAGUAGAAGAGUCAUAAGCUCGUGAGUCGUCUGGUUCCAGGUAUUGCCUCAGAACCUGCUGCUGUAGGUUGAACUCGAAUCCACCCAUUGUGGUGCCGUUGCUCAUCAGGAACCGGAGCUCAUCUGGCUCAGAGAUUUGGCUCAGUCCCAAAACAGGGGACACACAAGGCGAAUUGCUCUUUUUGCCUGACAUGAACCCCCAGGUUUGGUUCGUGUACUGACUAUGUACUGUUGAAACAGGUGGUGACUGAGCCAUUGUAACCCUCAAGGAAUCACUGACUGAUGUCUGAAGUUGUUGCAGCUGCUGAGUUGUUUUUGGGUUUGACAGAAGAGAGAGAGCACAGCUCGACUCUCUGCUAUUAUUAUUGUUCACCAUCUCUGGGUAUGUUAUACUAAAGCUUGAGCUUCCCUGUGAUAAAAAAGCAUUCAUCAGUUGAUGGCUAUCCCUUGCGGUUGACCACGUAGUAGGAUCUCCCAAAACCCUUCCUGUCACCAAUCAAGAACUUGCUUCUAUAAGGCACAUGGAGCUGAAAAAAGAGAGUUGAGCUAUUUUGUAAAAAAAGCUGAUCUAACCGUAAAGAGAUGCUGUUGUUGCUUGAGGCUUUCUUCUUCUUUCGUUAUGACAAGUGAGUCGUCUUCUACAACUUCUUUUCUCCAAGUCAAACUCAGAAAGCUGGUGAAACCUAAAGAGAAAAAGAAGCUUCAGUGAAAAGCAACAUAAUAAUAAUAAUAUCAUUUUUAUUUUACCUCUCCAUAGACAAGAGACAAUAUCACAUAAUAACUUUUUUUUUCUGAAACAAUAUCACAUAAUAACUAGCUGUAAAGUUUUGUAAUAAGACUCUUCAAAGAC